AAAAUCCGUCGACUUUGUAAU
Molecule: transfer RNA, 21 nt
Filed under: Helixanthera pulchra
Lineage: Eukaryota; Viridiplantae; Streptophyta; Magnoliopsida; Santalales; Loranthaceae
Description: partial tRNA-Leu
Source: RNAcentral